AAUAGUGGAUCCUAUACCUGCCACGCCAAUAACUCAGUCACUGGCUGCAACAGGACCACAGUCAAGACGAUCAUAGUCACUAGAGACAGAAUCUCACCAUGUUACCCAGGCUGGACUCGAACUCCUGGGCUCAAGCAAUCCUCCCAUCUGUUUCCCAAAGUGCUGAGAUUACAAUAAUGCUCUACCACAAGAAAAUGGCCUCUCACCUGGGGCCAUUGCUGGCAUUGUGAUUGGAGUAGUGGCCCUGGUUGCUCUGAUAGCAGUAGCCCUGGCAUGUUUUCUGCAUUUCGGGAAGACCGGCAGGCAAGCGACCAGCGUGAUCUCACAGAGCACAAACCCUCAGUCUCCAACCACCUCAGGACCACUCCAAUGACCCACCUAACAAAUGAAUGAAGUUACUUAUUCU
This 406-nucleotide long non-coding RNA is filed under the name Homo sapiens (human). RNAcentral's name for it is "non-protein coding lnc-CEACAM8-3:1". The record is from RNAcentral. Lineage: Eukaryota; Metazoa; Chordata; Mammalia; Primates; Hominidae.